UGGGUAACCUGCCUCAAAGAGGGGAAUAGCCUCCCGAAAGGGAGAUUAAUACCGCAUAAUAUGUUUAGGUCGCAUGACUUUAACAUCAAAGGAUUUUCUUUUAGAAAUUCCACUUUGAGAUGGACCCCGCGGCGCAUUAGCUAGUUGGUGAGGUAACGGCUCACCAAGGCAACGAUGCGUAGCCGACCUGAGAGAGUGAUCGGCCACAUUGGGACUGAGACACGGUCCAGACCU
Molecule: ribosomal RNA, 234 nt
Filed under: uncultured bacterium
Lineage: Bacteria
Description: partial 16S ribosomal RNA
Rfam family: Bacterial small subunit ribosomal RNA
Source: RNAcentral